This 442-nucleotide ribosomal RNA is filed under the name uncultured bacterium. RNAcentral describes it as "partial 16S ribosomal RNA". It matches the Rfam family "Bacterial small subunit ribosomal RNA", at positions 338 to 795 of the family's 1533-position model. The record is from RNAcentral.
CCUACGGGAGGCAGCAGUGGGGAAUAUUCGGCAAUGGGCGCAAGUCUGACCGAGCAACGCCGCGUGAGUGAAGAAGGCUUUCGGGUUGUAAACUUCUUUUGUCAGGGAAGAGUGAGAGAGGGUACCUGUAGAAUAAGCCACGGCUAACUACGUGCCGGCAGCCGCGGUAAAACGUAGGUGGCAAGCGGUGUUCGGCUUUACUGGGUCUAAAGGGCGUGUAGCCGGGUUGACAAAUCAGAGGGUAAGCCGUGCGGCUUAACCGCAGGACUGAAUUGGAAACUGGUGAUCUUGAGUACUGGAGAGGCGGAUGGAAUUCCAAGUGUAGCGGUGAAAUGCGUAGAUAUUAGGAGGAACACCAGUGGCGAAGGCGGUCUUCUGGAUAGCAACUGACGGUGAGGCGCGAAAGCGUGGGGAGCAAACAGGAUUAGAUACCCUUGUAGUC